AGCGGCGGACGGGUGAGUAACACGUGGGCAACCUGCCUCAUAGAGGGGAAUAGCCUCCCGAAAGGGAGAUUAAUACCGCAUAAGAUUGUAGCUUCGCAUGAAGUAGCAAUUAAAGGAGCAAUCCGCUAUGAGAUGGGCCCGCGGCGCAUUAGCUAGUUGGUGAGGUAACGGCUCACCAAGGCGACGAUGCGUAGCCGACCUGAGAGGGUGAUCGGCCACAUUGGGACUGAGACACGGCCCAGACUCCUACGGGAGGCAGCAGUGGGGAAUAUUGCACAAUGGGGGAAACCCUGAUGCAGCAACGCCGCGUGAGUGAUGACGGCCUUCGGGUUGUAAAGCUCUGUCUUCAGGGACGAUAAUGACGGUACCUGAGGAGGAAGCCACGGCUAACUACGUGCCAGCAGCCGCGGUAAUACGUAGGUGGCGAGCGUUGUCCGGAUUUACUGGGCGUAAAGGGAGCGUAGGCGGACUUUUAAGUGAGAUGUGAAAUACCCGGGCUCAACUUGGGUGCUGCAUUUCAGACUGGAAGUCUAGAGUGCAGGAGAGGAGAAUGGAAUUCCUAGUGUAGCGGUGAAAUGCGUAGAGAUUAGGAAGAACACCAGUGGCGAAGGCGAUUCUCUGGACUGUAACUGACGCUGAGGCUCGAAAGCGUGGGGAGCAACAGGAUUAGAUACCCUGGUAGUCCACGCCGUAACGAUGAAUACUAGUGU
This 710-nucleotide ribosomal RNA is filed under the name uncultured bacterium. RNAcentral's name for it is "bacterial SSU rRNA". It matches the Rfam family "Bacterial small subunit ribosomal RNA", at positions 94 to 822 of the family's 1533-position model. The record is from RNAcentral.